GUCCCCGUAGUAUAAUGGAUAGAACUCUCCCCUCCGAAGGGAGAAAUGUGAGUUCAAGUCUCACCGGGGACA
This 72-nucleotide transfer RNA is filed under the name Candidatus Shapirobacteria bacterium. Its description in RNAcentral is "tRNA-Arg". It matches the Rfam family "tRNA". Rfam says of the family: Transfer RNA (tRNA) molecules are approximately 80 nucleotides in length. Their secondary structure includes four short double-helical elements and three loops (D, anti-codon, and T loops). The record is from RNAcentral. Lineage: Bacteria; Candidatus Shapironibacteriota.